RNAcentral lists this ribosomal RNA (463 nucleotides) under uncultured organism. Its description in RNAcentral is "bacterial SSU rRNA". It matches the Rfam family "Bacterial small subunit ribosomal RNA", at positions 28 to 507 of the family's 1533-position model. The record is from RNAcentral.
GAUCAACGCUGGCGGCGUGCCUAAUGCAUGCAAGUCGAGCGGGGUGAUCUUCGGAUCACUUACGCGGCGGACGGGUGCGGAACACGUGGGCAACCUGCCCCGAGGUGGGGGAUAGCCGGUGGAAACACCGGGUAAUUCCGCAUACGGUCAUCAGUCGGAGGACUGGUGAGGAAAGGGUCUUCGGACUCGCCUUGGGAGGGGCCUGCGGCCGAUUAGCUAGACGGUGGGGUAACGGCCUACCGUGGCGAUGAUCGGUAGCUGGUCUGAGAGGACGGCCAGCCACACGGGGACUGAGACACGGCCCCGACUCCUACGGGAGGCAGCAGCAAGGAAUCUUCCGCAAUGGGCGAAAGCCUGACGGAGCAACGCCGCGUGUGGGAUGACGCCUUUCGGGGUGUAAACCACUUUUCUCAGGGAAGAAAUCUUGACGGUACCUGAGGAAUAAGGACCGGCUAACUACGUG